UUCAUGGUUUCAGUGAAAUUUAAAUUCUAAGUACAGAGGACAGAUGUGUAUAUGUAUAUAUUUAUAUAUGUGUGUGUGUGCAUAGUAAAUUUCCUGUAUGAAAAACUUGAAAAAUAGUGACAAAUACAUGAAAAAUCACCAUAAUCAUUCUAUUCAGGAACAAUAUGUAUUAAUAUUUUGGUGUGUAUCUUGCCAAUUUCUUUUUUAAAAGUCUUUCUGAGAUUAUACUAUCUAUAAUUUCCCCAUCUCUGUAUAUUUCCUCAUAUCCUGUAUUCUUCAUAAUGAUAAUUUUUAAAUACUGUGCAGUAGUCUAGGGAAGUUUUAAUAACCUCUGAGCCUAUAUGGUUCCAGGUUUUUGCUACUGUAAAUAAUGCUGCUAGCAACAUUUCCCUGUAUAAAAUUUUUUUUUUUAUUUGGGGAAUUACUUGGCUCUUGGUACAUGUUGCUGGGUGGAUUGCUAAUCAAGAAUGAGCAGUUGAUUAUACAGUCUUACCACUUCUCAUUUGACUUGACCUAUGGAUAAUUCAGAUGAAACUGUUCAGAAGAUGUAAUGUGACAUCCACCGGAGUCACAGGCUGUGCCCUCACCCUCUGUAGUUCUGUCGUGGACUUGGAGCUUGGUUCUGCCUGCUGUCCACUCUGCUCUGCAUUAUCUGCUGUAAACAUGCCAGUCACCUGUGCUGACUUUACGGACAGUCUGCAGCCUGGCAGGGCCAGGUAGAAAGGUGGGAGCCAGGUAGGGGAGGAGGUCACUGUGACGACCUGGCUGCUUUCUGUUUGGAUAACUGGUAUUCAAAACGGAGAAAGCCAUGUGAUUUUACUUUCAGCAGAAGUGAAAAAACCCCUGAGAACAUUGAAGACACGUGAAAGGACAGAGGCAGACCUUACGAAGCAGAGCCAUCCAGACGCAGUUGUUUCACCCACGUGGAUGUCUUUUACUGUGACAGUGGGAACUACAGUUGCCAAUUUUCAGGAGACCUAAAAAUUGGUCUAUUUCAGAUGGAUGCAGGUUUUAAAUUGGCCCCUGGAUAGUACAUUUCUUUUAAAAUUGAACCUUAAUUGAUUUUGAUUUUUUAAAGCUUGAAUUAAGUAGAAAAUUAAGGGCUUUUUAUAAUUAAAGAUGGUAAUAUAUAUUUAACUUGGAUGAUUACCUAAUAGAGAAUUAUUUAUACCCUAUUAUUAUUUUUAAAUAUUUAGUGUUUGCCACAAAAAGCAGAAAAUAUUCUGUCUUGUUGUUGAACUCUCUUUAAUUCAUAUUUUAUAAGUCACAGACCAUUCUGAACAGGUUUGGGGAAGUUAGUGAAAACAUAGCCAGUAUGAUUUGUUAGCAUUAACAAAAUAUAUGCAGUUUUUUAUUCAUUUCUAAAUUGGAAUUUUUAGAAUUAUGAAUAUAAAUAUUUAUGCUCUUUCUGUUUUGAAGAAAGUACCUUAUUUCCUUAUGUGAAAAAUUUAUGCAAGAGUUCAAAAAAGCUCCAGGAAUAGAGUAAUAUUUUGAAUGGAAUUAAUUGUUUUUCACUUAACCAGAGUGGCCAAAUACUAUUUCAGCACAGAUUUAGUCCCAUUUCUGGACUUCCAAAACAAGAGACUAUUUACGAAUUCAUUUCAGUUUGGGUAUUUAUAAGAAGAAAAGACUGUUCUGAUGGCUGUGGAGUAGUCCUAAACACUGAGGCUUGGGAAAAAUACAAAGAUAAACUACAGUGAUUACCACUGAUUUACCUUUGCACCUUUAUCAUUCAAAUGACCUUUACUCAAGUGAGAGGAGAAGAUGCCCCUUAUUUGCAUCUGACAGAUGGGAAAGCAGCUCUGAGAAGAUAGCCUCCGCUAGGCAAAAGCAGAAGGAUCCAAAAGAUCGGUCUUGUGUGAAAAAAGGACUGCAGGUAAUGUGUGGACGACUGCACAUUGUUCGUUUCCUGGGUCGUCGGUAAUGACAGGAUUUUCAGACUCAGAUGAUGCAUAUUGAAAGAUUAUCGGGCCAUCUGUGUCUCUUCAGCUGCCUGCUGAGAAAACCAAGUGUUCCCAACAAGGGUUAAUGUGAUCUGUUGACCCCAGCUGACAAACAGGUCAUGGCUAUCCCUCCUGAUGAAGACUCUGGGAGCCAAACUCAAAUCUGCAGGAAUUCACAGAUUCGACAGAUUUAAUGUGAGAACAGGGCUUCUCCGUGUUUUGGACGUCACUGAAGGCCCUGUAGCAGUACCUGUGCUUUUCUGGCUGCCACCGCCACUGCCACCGCCAACAGCGGUGUUUGUUCCCUUUGUAUGUUAGCUAAACUGAGAAGUGUCUAGUACGUUUUUUAGGUUCGUGGACACUUGAUGUGAUCCCCAACCAUUUUUUAAAUCAAAAGCUAAAUAAAACACUCCACUAGGACUAAAUGAUCUGAAUAGGGCCGUUUUCUAAUUUUUAGGAAUUUUCUAGUAAAUGAAGGCAAAAUGUUCUCACUGAGGUUUGACGGCUAUUAUUGUCUCCUGACAAAGGAAGUAAACAGUUUUCAGUCACAAAACACGUUAAAGUAAUAGUUGAAGUAAUGAGAAAAGUUGAAUUCAAGGUAAAAGGUAAAAGUUGAAUUAACCUUCAGUAGCUAAAGGUUAUUUUACACAGGGAAGGUGUGUAAUGUGUGUAUAAGGUACUGAGGAGAGUAUUUCCUGUAUGGCAUUUUUAUUCUCUCUUUUGAAUUAACUGUAGCACAGGAAGUGGCAAACUGUGGCCUGUGAGCCAAAUCUGGCCCCACUGCCUGUUUUGUGUGGCCUUUGAGCUGAGCAUGGUUCUUGCAUUCAUAUAUCAGAAUAGCUAAGAAAAAUUAAAAGAAUGUUUUAUGACAUGUGAAAAUUAUAUGACAUCCAAAUUUCAGCGUCCAUAAAUAACCUUUAUAAGAACACAGCCAUGCUUGUUUGAGUAUAGCCGAUAGCUGCUUUUAUGCUACAGUUAGGCAGAGCUGUCUAGUUCAGAGACCAUACAGCCCCAAAGCCUAGAAUAAUUACUGUAUAUCCCUGCUCUAGCAAAAUAUUACUAAUGUCACAAAUUAGAGUUUUCCUGUGUUUUCUUUUUUUUUUAAUGUAAAAUUUUGGCAAAUGGAAUGUGAUUUGUUUCUUUUAUCAAAUGAAAUGGCUAACAUUUCCAGUAGAGUGGUAGAGUACAUCUCUCAUUUUAUAAGGACAGUGGAAAAUAGGGGCCAAACAUAAAGUUUCUCUAUUGUGUAUCUGAAGGGCCAAGGGCUCACUCUCCUGGAAAUUGGUUUCCUCUGGGUCUGUGUCCCAGAUGGUCGGCCGACAGGCUGCCCAGCAGCUCCUCCCUGUGUGCACAUGCCACUUCUCCUGAAGAGGUCGUCCCGAGUCAAGGCUGGCCUCCCACUUACUUCGACCCAUAGAAUAUGUUGAUUGUGAUACUGUGUGACUUCCAGGUAUUGGCCUUUAGAAGUUGUGCAGCUUCAGUUUCGUCUUCUUGGCAACCAGCCACCAGGUAAAAGAGGCUCCAGCUGGACUCGCAAAGGAUGACAGGUGACGUGGAGAAGGAAGGCAGGACAGCUGGCAGUCAUUGCCAUGGCCAGAAGUAACCGGGGGUCAUCCUGGAUAGCUGAGCUGACACAGGGCUAAGCCCUACUCGAAUUCUUUUUUUUUUAAAUUUUAUUUUUCAAUUACAGUUGACAUGCAUUAGUUUAUAUUAGUUUCAGGUGUACAGCAUAGAGGUUAGAUAAUUACCUACUCGAAUUCUUAACCCUCAGAAUUUUAAGCCAAUGAAAUGGUGGUGGUUUUAAGUCACUAAGUUUUGGAGUACUUUGUUAUGUAGUAUUACCUAACUAAAAAGGUUUAGGGAGAUAUGUGAUUUUUUAUUAUGAAAGAUGAAAGAGAAAAAUAUCUGACUUAGGGUGUUAGAGAACUGAAGUCAAAUAAACACUACAGUCACAUGCUUGAGUUCUUGGGACAUAUGGUUCAUUGAAAAAUUUCAUACUUAUUUUUAUGAUUAUAAAGCACAAUGUAUGCUUGUGGAGAAAAUGUAGAAAAGGAUAGAAAAUUCUAAUGCAUAAUAUUUAAAUUACUCACAAUUCUGCCAUUUAGAGAAGAAUCACUGUUCUAGCCUUUUCUUUACAUACAUUUUUUACUUUAUAAAAUUAUAAAUAUAUAUAGUUUUGUACUCUGCUUCAUUUUGAUAAUAUUAUACUGUUAAGUAUAUUUCAGAACAAUAAUUUUUAAUGACCACAGAGGCCUAUUUAAGUGAGUUAUAAUACAUUCACAUAAUUCAAAGGUCUUCAUUUUCUAUUUCCAGGUUUGCUAGUUAGAGAAUUUUUUUUAAAGCAAAGCUUUUUUGAAAAAACACCUUUAAUGAGCUAUAAUUCACUUACCAUACAAAUACACAAUUUAAUGUGUGCAAUUCAGGAGAUUAAAAAUGGUGGCAGAAAAGAAAACAAAAUAAAGUGUGCAAUUCAGUUUUUUAGUAUAUUCACAGGAUUCUGUACGAUUGUCACUAUCUAAUUUUAGAACAUAUUUGUCCCCUCUAAAAGAAACCAAACUUCAUCUUUCUCCCAACCCCAACCCCUGCUCUAGGCAACCACAAUUCUACUUCCUGUCUCUCUAGGUUUGUAUAUGGUAUUCUGUGACUGGCUUUUUUCACUUAGCAUAAUGGUUUCAAGUUUCAUCUGGGUUGUAGCAUGUAGUAAUAUUUCAUUCCUUUCGAUGGUUAAAUAUUUUUUAUUUAACCAUAUUUUAUUUAUCCAUCAAUUGAUAGAUAUUUGGGUUGUUUCUACUUUUUGGCUCUUCUGAAUAAUACUGCUAUGAACAUUCAUGUACAAACUUUUCUGUAGACAUAUGUUUACAUUUUUCUUGGAUAUAUACCUAAGAGUAAAAUUCUUGAGUCACAUGGUAACUAUGUCUAACUUUCUGAGGAAUUCCCAAGCUGUUUUCCUAAGCAGUUGUAUAAUUUUGCAUUCCUACCACCAAUGUACACAGUUUCUAAUAUCACUACAUCUUCGCCAACACUUGAUAGUGUCUUCCUGAUUAUAGCCAUCCUAGUGGGUGUGGAGCAGCACCUCAUUGUGGUUUUGAUUCACAUUUUCCUAAUGGCUAAUUAUGUGGGGCAUCUUUUCAUAUGCUUAUUGGACAUUUUUAUAUCUUUUGGGGGGAAAUAUAUUCAAACAUUUUGCCCAUUUUUUUAGUUAUCUUUUUAUUACUGAGAUGUAAGAAUCUUUUAGGAUACAAGUCCCCUAUUAGAGAUGUUAUUUGCAAAUCUUGCCUCCCAUUUUGUGGGUUUUUCCCCCAUCUCCUUGAUAGUGUUGUCUGCAGCAUUGAUAUUUUCAAUUUUGAUGUAGUCCAGUUUAUUAUUUUUGUUGUCACUUCUGCCUUUGGUGUCAUAUCUAAGAAACGAUGGUCUAAACCAGCUAACAAAGAUUUUAGAGAAUUAUUAAGUAUAUCAUUUUAUUUAUUUAUUUAUAUCAGGUUUGUGUGGUUUUUUAAAAAGUACAGACCCUUUCAGGACAAUACAUGUGUAGUUUUUUUUUUUUUAAAGGGCUGCAUAACAUUCAGUGGUAUAAAUAUAUCCUAAUUUAUUCAACCACUAUUGAUAGAUAUAGUCUUAUUUCCAGGUUUUGUUUGUUUGUUUUGUGUGUGAGGGGUUUUUUUUUUGCCACAAACAAGACUGCAAAAUAUUUACUAUUUUGUUCUGGUGCCUUUAUUCCUGCAGGAUACAUCACCUAGGAUGGAAUGGGAUGAUACUUUCUUCAAAAUCUAAGUUGCUAGGAUUUGUCCUGCAUUGGAAUUUGAACACUCCAGUCAGCUGGUUAGGAAAAAAGAUUAUGAAUGCGCUGUCGAGGAGCUUUUGUAAAAGAGCAAAUUCAUUUCAGAAAACUGGGCCGACCUCAUGAUCCAUUGCUCUGUAGACAGCUUUCUUUACCGUCUUUAAGGAGGAGACCAAAGGAGGAGAGGCAUGAGGAAGAGCAGGAACUGCGCAGCAGACUGCCCUGUAGCGCACGGAGGUGGAGUUUGCGCAUUUACCCACAAAUGGUACUUGGGGAUUGCCAUCAGCAUCCAGAGAGCAUUUAAGGAAUAGAUCAUCAUGUACAAUAAGUUGUUCCUUUACCAAAAUGUAAAUUAGUUUUCUUUGACCAGGUUGGGGAAUAUCAAAGAAAUAGCAUUCAAAGAUGAUGCCGGAGGGUUAGUGAGGCUUUAACACUUCCUGGCCUUUGAUGGGGCAGAGGCCAUUCGCUCAGAAAAGUGCC
This is a long non-coding RNA of Myotis myotis, 6201 nucleotides long. RefSeq lists it as uncharacterized. The transcript is spliced from 6 exons. NCBI's taxonomy places the organism in Eukaryota, Metazoa, Chordata, Mammalia, Chiroptera, Vespertilionidae. The record is from RefSeq and is a predicted model, not a curated record.